AUGGCGGCGGCACUGCAGAUGCCUAGUACGACGACUACGGCGUCGGCUUGCGUCCCAGAUACGGCGCGGGGCACGCACGUGUUCACGAUCGCCAGCUACAGGCUGCACAAGGGCCUCGGCGCCGGCAAAUUCAUCCGAUCCGCCACCUUUGCCGUCGGCGGCUAUGACUGGUGCAUCCGGUACUACCCAGACGGAGACCUAAACCAGAAGGACCACGUCUCGGUCUGCGUCGAGCUCCAGAGCAAGAACUCCGUGGUGAGGGCGCUCUACGACCUGAGGCUGAUCAACCGGGCCACCGGGCUGUCGUCAUUGAUCUUCUCCCGGCCAUCGUCCCUCCCGGCGUUCGACUCCUUGAAGAACGAUCAUGUCAGGGGUGCUUACAAGUUCAUGAAGAUCGACCUCCUGGAGGCAUCCCCGUACCUGCAGGAUGACUGCCUUGUGAUCCAGUGCGACAUUACCGUUCUCCUCAAGGAAAUACCGGCCGUGGCGACGGUUGCCAAGCCACCUGAGAUUCAGGUAACACCGUCAGACUUGUCGAACAAUCUUGCAAAACUGCUGGAGGGCAACAAAGGAGCGGACAUGACGAUCAAGGUUAACGAUUCAUUGCCUGUCAUGCACGACCUUGACAACCAUGACAACAAGGAGAUGAUUAAGCACUUGAUCGUGGCUGCAGAUAGGUAUGCCAUGGAAAGGAUGAAGUUGAUCUGUGAGAGUAUGCUAUGCAAGAGUCUCGAUGCUAAGAGCGUUGGGGCCACAUUGGCUCUAGCUGACCAGCAUCAUUGCAGCAUCUCAGAGAAGCAUGCGUUGAGUAUAUCAAACUCUUCUCUUAGCUAG
This 834-nucleotide ribosomal RNA is filed under the name Triticum aestivum (bread wheat). RNAcentral describes it as "partial small subunit ribosomal RNA". The record is from RNAcentral. Lineage: Eukaryota; Viridiplantae; Streptophyta; Magnoliopsida; Poales; Poaceae.